Molecule: long non-coding RNA, 1561 nt
Organism: Mauremys mutica (yellowpond turtle)
Lineage: Eukaryota; Metazoa; Chordata; Testudines; Geoemydidae
Exons: 3
Source: RefSeq, a predicted model, not a curated record
AGCCUAGUAGUGCAUGUGUCUACAUUUACGAUGGUCUCCUUCUGAUGUAAACAGUCCAUUACGUCAACAUAGUAACACCACCUCCCCAAAAGGAGCCAGGAGCAAUCUACUAAGGUAGAUGAAGUGCAAGUGCAGAUACCACAUGGCCUACAUCAACCCUCAAAGUCCUCCAGGAACCUUCUCACAAUGCCGACAGUGGCCGCUCUAUCCACAGUUGUGAACUCCAGUGCCUAGGGCUCACAAAGACUGGGAACCACGCCCCUUUAAAAGGCAUUUUUGAAAUGUCUUUUCCUGAUUUCUCAGCUUGGCAAGCACACCAAAUGUCCCUUCUUGUGUGCAACUGCCCAACCAACUAGGCCAGUUACAUGAUCUGGACACACGCCUGCCUGGAGUAAACUGGAGGCGUUGGAUCUCCUGGGCCUAUUGGGAGAAGAAGCUAUGCAGGCACAGCUACGGAGCAAUCAUAGAAAUGUGGACAUUGACAACCAGAUUGCCUGGGGGUUUCAGGAGAAGGAGUAUGAUAGAGAUCAGCAGCAGUGCCGCGUGAAAGUGAGGGAACUGCCGCAAGCAUAACAGAGUCAAGGAGGCCAACUGGCAGUCUGGAGCCAAGUAGCAGACCUGCCACUUCUGCAACAAGCUACAUGCCAUAUGUGGCAGAGACCCCGCUGAACACCAUAGAUACCUCCAAGGAUCCUGAAACACAGCCCCCAACUGUGAACAGUGGAGGACCAAGAAGAGGAAGAGAUUGGGAGAUCUGUGGCAGGGGGACCCAGCUACGCUGUGAGCCAGGAUCUUUUUGAGACUCUGCCGAAGUAUAGCCAGUCUCCUCAGAUGAGCAUGCAGGAGCACAUGAAGGAACAUCAGGUUUGGGCUCUGGGCCCCACAUCUCUAUUGCUGACUACGAGGCCGGUGGGAUCCGUGUGGUGUGUACGUUGGGUGGGUGGUACCCAGAGCCUGAAAUGCUGUGGAGAGAUUCUAGUGGGCAGCUUGUACCAUCACUGUCCCAAACGAAAUCCCAACAGGCAAAUGGCCUGUUUGAAGCUCAGAUUUCUUUUGUUAUAAAAGAAAGGACACAUCCUGGUUUGAAUUGUUACAUAAGGAAUCCCCGCCUCAACAAAGAAAAAGAGUCAACAAUUUACAUAGCAGACCCGUUUUUCCCAAGGACUUCCCUCUGGAUUGUGGCUCUGGCUGUAGUGUCCUGGGUUUUCUCAUUUCCCCAGCCAUUUACUAUUGUUGGAUGCAGCACAGAGAGAAAGGUAAAGUAAUAGUGGGAGAUUCCUUGGGUGAAACUGUUUCAGUUGAGAGAAAUGCAGCAAAUGGAGCUAUUCUUUACAUCUCACUAAUGAAUUCAAACCUAUUUUUAGUGUCAGAUAAAAACUACAUUAAACUGAAAGUCAGGUUGGGAGUAUGUAUCUGUAACUCAAAGGUGCAUGUUUUAUGUAUCCCAGAAGCAAACAUCACAAGCCUGACUAAUUCAGCAUAAAAAAUCCCCAACAAGCUAAGGUCUGGAAGCACACGGUAAGACCAUCCAAACAGUCUUAAUUCUGCCAUUUAGUGUUAC